RNAcentral lists this ribosomal RNA (253 nucleotides) under uncultured bacterium. Its description in RNAcentral is "partial 16S ribosomal RNA". It matches the Rfam family "Bacterial small subunit ribosomal RNA", at positions 524 to 776 of the family's 1533-position model. The record is from RNAcentral.
UACGUAGGGUGCAAGCGUUAAUCGGAAUUACUGGGCGUAAAGCGUGUGCAGGCGGUGAUGUAAGACAGUUGUGAAAUCCCCGGGCUCAACCUGGGAACUGCAUCUGUGACUGCAUUGCUGGAGUGCGGCAGAGGGGGAUGGAAUUCCGCGUGUAGCAGUGAAAUGCGUAGAUAUGCGGAGGAACACCGAUGGCGAAGGCAAUCCCCUGGGCCUGCACUGACGCUCAUGCACGAAAGCGUGGGGAGCAAACAGG